Long non-coding RNA from Xenia sp. Carnegie-2017, 595 nucleotides. RefSeq lists it as uncharacterized. The record is from RefSeq and is a predicted model, not a curated record. NCBI's taxonomy places the organism in Eukaryota, Metazoa, Cnidaria, Anthozoa, Malacalcyonacea, Xeniidae. The transcript is spliced from 2 exons.
UUGUUUUUGGAAUGGUUUGUGCUGGUUCGUACUCGUACUUUGAAGCCAGUUACCCGGUGAAAGUGAGAAUUGAGAAGCGAAGCUUUUGAGUUUUGUUUGAACCUGUUUGCUGCGUAGCAUGUUCGAGGUUGAGGAUGGUUAACGAAGAUUGCAUCGUUGAUUGUGUUGACCAUGGAUGAGGAAAGGUUUCAUGCUUUGUGGUAUAAAGGGUUUUUUACUAAUGACGUUUUGCUUUUUCCGAAGGUAUUGAAUUACAUAAAAGGCAGUGAAGAAAAUUUGAAGACAAGACAAUAUUAUAUGCCAUAUGUUUUGAGAUUUACGUGUUUGUGUGGUUGAGUGUCAAAUUCCCGAUUAUCAGUAACGAAAUGGGACAUACGAAACGAUUGACACGUAUUUUACGUAAUGUCAAUCGUUGUUUAUUUUACUAAAAUACAAUUUCGAAGUCGUAAUUUUUGGCCCUAAUGUGAAAUGAAAAGUAAUCUUUUUAUUGUAAAGCUCGUUGAGUAUAAUCUUAAAUGUAAUAUUGCGACUGCAUUUCAACAUAUGCAUGAUAAAAUAGUGAAAUAAGUUUCAGUAAUAAAUUUAUAAUUGUCAA